Molecule: ribosomal RNA, 364 nt
Filed under: Grandidierina fierinensis
Lineage: Eukaryota; Metazoa; Chordata; Lepidosauria; Squamata; Scincidae
Description: partial 12S ribosomal RNA
Rfam family: Bacterial small subunit ribosomal RNA
Source: RNAcentral
ACAAUACUGUUCGCCAGAGAACUACAAGCAAAAAACUAGAAACUCUAAGGACUUGGCGGUGCUCCAUAUCAACCUAGAGGAGCCUGUCCUAUAAUCGAUACCCCACGCUAAACCUUACCAUCUUUUGCCACCCAGCCUAUAUACCGCCGUCGUCAGCUUACCUUGUGAAAGAAGAAUAGUAGGCAAAACAGCUAACAGCUAACACGUCAGGUCAAGGUGUAGCACAUAAGAUGGAAGAGAUGGGCUACAUUUUCUGCCACAGAACAAACGAACGCUACAAUGAAACAUGUACCUAAAGGUGGAUUUAGUAGUAAGAUAAAAAAGCAACACUAUCUUAAACAUGCUCUGGAGCGCGCACACACCG